AUGACGCUGUAAGAGCCUGAUGGC
Molecule: non-coding RNA, 24 nt
Filed under: Arabidopsis thaliana (thale cress)
Lineage: Eukaryota; Viridiplantae; Streptophyta; Magnoliopsida; Brassicales; Brassicaceae
Source: RNAcentral